ACUUUAACAUGGAGGUGCUUUCUGUGAUUUUACAAAAGUAAGUGCUUCCAUGUUUUAGUAG
Molecule: microRNA precursor, 61 nt
Filed under: Gallus gallus (chicken)
Lineage: Eukaryota; Metazoa; Chordata; Aves; Galliformes; Phasianidae
Description: Gga-Mir-430-P1_pre stem-loop
Rfam family: mir-302 microRNA precursor family
Source: RNAcentral